RNAcentral lists this transfer RNA (83 nucleotides) under Apaloderma vittatum (bar-tailed trogon). It matches the Rfam family "tRNA". Rfam says of the family: Transfer RNA (tRNA) molecules are approximately 80 nucleotides in length. Their secondary structure includes four short double-helical elements and three loops (D, anti-codon, and T loops). Lineage: Eukaryota; Metazoa; Chordata; Aves; Trogoniformes; Trogonidae. The record is from Rfam by way of RNAcentral.
GGGCGGUUAGCUCAGUGGUUUGAGCGCUGUGCUGGCAACAAGAAUCAACACCGAGGUCGUGGGUUCGAUUCCUGCUCGGUCCC